This 648-nucleotide ribosomal RNA is filed under the name uncultured bacterium. RNAcentral's name for it is "bacterial SSU rRNA". It matches the Rfam family "Bacterial small subunit ribosomal RNA", at positions 110 to 753 of the family's 1533-position model. The record is from RNAcentral.
GUAAUGCUUAGGAAUCUGCCUAUUAGUGGGGGACAACAUUUCGAAAGGAAUGCUAAUACCGCAUGCGCCCUACGGGGGAAAGCAGGGGAUCUUCGGACCUUGCGCUAAUAGAUGAGCCUAAGUCGGAUUAGCUAGUUGGUGGGGUAAAGGCCUACCAAGGCGACGAUCUGUAGCGGGUCUGAGAGGAUGAUCCGCCACACUGGGACUGAGACACGGCCCAGACUCCUACGGGAGGCAGCAGUGGGGAAUAUUGGACAAUGGGCGGAAGCCUGAUCCAGCCAUGCCGCGUGUGUGAAGAAGGCCUUUUGGUUGUAAAGCACUUUAAGCGAGGAGGAGGCUCCUUUAGUUAAUACCUAAAGAGAGUGGACGUUACUCGCAGAAUAAGCACCGGCUAACUCUGUGCCAGCAGCCGCGGUAAUACAGAGGGUGCGAGCGUUAAUCGGAUUUACUGGGCGUAAAGCGUGCGUAGGCGGCUUUUUAAGUCGGAUGUGAAAUCCCUGAGCUUAACUUAGGAAUUGCAUUCGAUACUGGAAAGCUAGAGUAUGGGAGAGGAUGGUAGAAUUCCAGGUGUAGCGGUGAAAUGCGUAGAGAUCUGGAGGAAUACCGAUGGCGAAGGCAGCCAUCUGGCCUAAUACUGACGCUGAGGUA